AUUGAACGCUGGCGGCAGGCCUAACACAUGCAAGUCGAGCGGAUGAAGGGAGCUUGCUCCCUGAUUCAGCGGCGGACGGGUGAGUAAUGCCCAGGAAUCUGCCUGGUAGUGGGGGACAACGUUUCGAAUGGAACGCUAAUACCGCAUACGUCCUACGGGAGAAAGCAGGGGACCUUCGGGCCUUGCGCUAUCAGAUGAGCCUAGGUCGGAUUAGCUAGUUGGUGAGGUAAUGGCUCACCAAGGCGACGAUCCGUAACUGGUCUGAGAGGAUGAUCAGUCACACUGGAACUGAGACACGGUCCAGACUCCUACGGGAGGCAGCAGUGGGGAAUAUUGGACAAUGGGCGAAAGCCUGAUCCAGCCAUGCCGCGUGUGUGAAGAAGGUCUUCGGAUUGUAAAGCACUUUAAGUUGGGAGGAAGGGUUGCUGAUUAAUACUCUGCAAUUUUGACGUUACCGACAGAAUAAGCACCGGCUAACUCUGUGCCAGCAGCCGCAGUAA
Molecule: ribosomal RNA, 500 nt
Filed under: uncultured bacterium
Lineage: Bacteria
Description: partial 16S ribosomal RNA
Rfam family: Bacterial small subunit ribosomal RNA
Source: RNAcentral